Molecule: ribosomal RNA, 494 nt
Filed under: uncultured bacterium
Lineage: Bacteria
Description: partial 16S ribosomal RNA
Rfam family: Bacterial small subunit ribosomal RNA
Source: RNAcentral
AAUGAACGCUGGCGGCGUGCCUAACACAUGCAAGUCGAACGAGAAAGCCCGCAAGGGUGAGUACAGUGGCGCACGGGUGAGUAAUACAUAGGAAUCUGCCUCUGAGUGAAGAAUACCCUAGAGAAAUUUAGGUUAAUACUGCAUAAGCCCAGAAAUGGGGAAAGGUGGCCUCAAGCUACCGCUGAGAGAUGAGCCUAUGGCCUAUUAGCUAGUUGGUAGGGUAAAAGCCUACCAAGGCGAGGAUGGGUAGCCGGCCUGAGAGGGUGUACGGCCACACUGGAACUGAGACACGGUCCAGACUCCUACGGGAGGCAGCAGUGGGGAAUAUUGGACAAUGGGGGGAACCCUGAUCCAGCCUUGCCGCGUGUGUGAAGAAGGUCUUAGGAUUGUAAAGCACUUUAAGUUGGGAGGAAGAGCAGUUAACUAAUAUUUGACUGUUUUGACGUUACCGACAGAAUAAGCACCGGCUAACUUCGUGCCAGCCGCCGCCGUAA